This 483-nucleotide ribosomal RNA is filed under the name Triticum aestivum (bread wheat). RNAcentral describes it as "partial small subunit ribosomal RNA". The record is from RNAcentral. Lineage: Eukaryota; Viridiplantae; Streptophyta; Magnoliopsida; Poales; Poaceae.
AUGGCAAGUCACCAAUCGCAAGACCCUUCCUCAAGCAUAGGCAAUGCUACUGGAAAUGAUAUGACUGUAACACUUGGUAACCCAUCCAGCAGAAAAAGGAUGAGAAUUGGUCCUGACUCAACACAAGUCACCACAGAUAACACAAACCCUUGGAACAAGGACACAUUUCCCAGAAGGUUACAAGAAAUAACUAGUCGGUUGCAAGGCAUUCAAGGGAAUGUGAUAGAGGUUCUCGAGAUACUUUUGUUAGACGCUGCUGCAACUUCAAACCAUCGUAAGAGUACAACGUCUGAUCCAUGCCAAAGAACAUCAAGUCUUGUUCAAAGAAAAAUGUAUGGGAGAGAUGCAGAGAAGAAAUUCAUCAUCAAGUUGAUAACAGAACACAAAUCAGCUGCUGGUGCCACUAUUCUGCCUAUUGUAGGCAUAGGAGGAGUUGGGAAGACAGCUUUUGCCCAACUCGUAUACAAUGAUCCUGCUCUGUAA